This 165-nucleotide ribosomal RNA is filed under the name Nassauvia dentata. Its description in RNAcentral is "5.8S ribosomal RNA". It matches the Rfam family "5.8S ribosomal RNA". Rfam says of the family: 5.8S ribosomal RNA (5.8S rRNA) is a component of the large subunit of the eukaryotic ribosome. The record is from RNAcentral. Lineage: Eukaryota; Viridiplantae; Streptophyta; Magnoliopsida; Asterales; Asteraceae.
AAACGACUCUCGGCAACGGAUAUCUCGGCUCACGCAUCGAUGAAGAACGUAGCAAAAUGCGAUACUUGGUGUGAAUUGCAGAAUCCCUUGAACCAUCGAGUUUUUGAACGCAAGUUGCGCCCGAAGCCAUCCGGUUGAGGGCACGUCUGCCUGGGCGUCACGCAU